AGCGCAGGAAGUCGACGGAACCCUUCGGGGGGAAGUCGACGGAAUGAGCGGCGGACGGGUGAGUAACACGUAAAGAACCUGCCCUCAGGUCUGGGAUAACCACGAGAAAUCGGGGCUAAUACCGGAUGGGUCAUCGGACCGCAUGGUCCGAGGAUGAAAGGCGCUCCGGCGUCGCCUGGGGAUGGCUUUGCGGUGCAUUAGCUAGUUGGUGGGGUAAUGGCCCACCAAGGCGACGAUGCAUAGCCGACCUGAGAGGGUGAUCGGCCACACUGGGACUGAGACACGGCCCAGACUCCUACGGGAGGCAGCAGUAGGGAAUCUUCCACAAUGGACGAAAGUCUGAUGGAGCAACGCCGCGUGAACGAUGAAGGCCUUCGGGUCGUAAAGUUCUGUUGUAAGGGAAGAACAAGUGCCGCAGGCAAUGGCGGCACCUUGACGGUACCUUGCGAGAAAGCCACGGCUAACUACGUGCCAGCAGCCGCGGUAAUACGUAGGUGGCAAGCGUUGUCCGGAAUUAUUGGGCGUAAAGCGCGCGCAGGCGGCCUCUUAAGUCUGAUGUGAAAGCCCCCGGCUCAACCGGGGAGGGCCAUUGGAAACUGGGAGGCUUGAGUAUAGGAGAGAAGAGUGGAAUUCCACGUGU
Molecule: ribosomal RNA, 640 nt
Filed under: Exiguobacterium sp.
Lineage: Bacteria; Bacillati; Bacillota; Bacilli; Caryophanales
Description: bacterial SSU rRNA
Rfam family: Bacterial small subunit ribosomal RNA
Source: RNAcentral